GGGGACGUUUUGGAUUUGACAGGAUGUUUCGGUUGGAAUUGGCUGCGUGUCCGAGCGCUGUUCUCGGUUAUCAACGAGCGACUAAAUUAAAUGCUAACAAUGUAAUUGAAGCAGACUUCAACAGAGCAUAUGCUCAAGCUGCAUAGUCUGUGACUAGCUACUCGUAGAGUCCAGCUUGCCGAUUUUACGGGUCCAUUAUGCAAGCCGCAGUACGUUGAUGACGGUAGACGUAUCAAGACAACCGUAAAGGGUUUAGAGUUUCCUAAUAAAAAACCUAGGGCUGAUUUAUAGGGUUAAGGUUUAUUCCUGAAUCAGUUGAGCGAAUAUAAACCUACACACGUAGAUGUUAGUUACAAUCCAUUUUGGACAGGGGUUCGACUCCCCUCGUCUCCACCA
Molecule: transfer-messenger RNA, 396 nt
Filed under: bacterium
Lineage: Bacteria
Rfam family: transfer-messenger RNA
About the family: Bacterial tmRNA, also known as 10Sa RNA or SsrA, is named for its dual tRNA and mRNA-like properties. Its role is to liberate the mRNA from a stalled ribosome.
Source: RNAcentral